Oryzias melastigma (Indian medaka) is the source of this 643-nucleotide long non-coding RNA. RefSeq lists it as uncharacterized. NCBI's taxonomy places the organism in Eukaryota, Metazoa, Chordata, Actinopteri, Beloniformes, Adrianichthyidae. The record is from RefSeq and is a predicted model, not a curated record. The transcript is spliced from 2 exons.
AUGACAACAAAGAAAGAGGAAAACAGAUUCAUCAGAAACCGUCCAGGUGAACUUCAGCUCUCAGACUCCGCCUCCUCCCUUCUCUACACAUGCAUGAAGGUCACACGCUCCCUCUCAGGAAUGUGUGACAGAGCACACAUGCAUUGUCAGAGCCUCCCGUUUCAGCUAGAAGAGGAAUUCGUUUCCCGUGGGGACUAACUGAUGCAGCCAUGCCGGGAGGAGAAGAGGAGCCCCGAAGAUCAGGGCAAGAAAACAUAGGGUUUAAAAAAAGGGGGCGGGGCACUCGAUUGUCACUGACCUCAUCUAUGGCUUUCUUAUAGCUCUGAUGAGAGGAAGGGAGGAAUAGAGAGAAAGAGAGAACAAGUGAACAGUAGAAAAGAAAGAAAAAGGAGGUGACGUAUAAAAGAAGCCCAAGAGGAGCUCGCCGUGGCGGGAAGAAAGCGUCUAUCAGUCAGCUGUCUACGAAUGUACUCCUGAGCAGCAUGUCGGCACAAGGAGAGAGGGACGGUGGGAAAGAAGCAUUUGGACAGAGGGAAGCAUCGUGCACAGAGAGAGAAAGACAGAAACAUCUCAGACGGGGCUGUGAAUGGAAAAACUCCUAAAAAUACAAAGAAAGAAAGUGGAUUUUGCUUGAGGUUAACUU